Molecule: ribosomal RNA, 448 nt
Filed under: uncultured bacterium
Lineage: Bacteria
Description: partial 16S ribosomal RNA
Rfam family: Bacterial small subunit ribosomal RNA
Source: RNAcentral
AUCCAGACUCCUACGGGAGGCAGCAGUGGGGAAUAUUGCACAAUGGGGGGAACCCUGAUGCAGCGACGCCGCGUGGGUGAAGAAGUCAUUCGUGACGUAAAGCCCUGUCAGCAGGGAAGAAAAUGACGGUACCUGAAGAAGAAGCCCCGGCUAACUACGUGCCAGCAGCCGCAGUAAUACGUAGGGGGCAAGCGUUAUCCGGAUUUACUGGGUGUAAAGGGGGCGCAGACGGCGAUGCAAGCCAGGAGUGAAAGCCCGGGGCCCAACCCCGGGACUGCUCUUGGAACUGCGUGGCUAGAGUGCAGGAGGGGCAGGCGGAAUUCCUGGUGUAGCGGUGAAAUGCGUAGAUAUUAGGAGGAACACCAGUGGCGAAGGCGGCCUACUGGACGGUGACUGACGCUGAGGCUCGAAAGCGUGGGGAGCAAACAGGAUUAGAUACCCGAGUACG